Molecule: small RNA, 138 nt
Filed under: Sporomusa sphaeroides
Lineage: Bacteria; Bacillati; Bacillota; Negativicutes; Selenomonadales; Sporomusaceae
Also listed under: 1 other name
Description: Sporomusa sp. c-di-AMP sequence
Rfam family: c-di-AMP riboswitch aptamer (ydaO/yuaA leader)
About the family: This family represents a conserved RNA structure found upstream of the ydaO and yuaA genes in Bacillus subtilis and related genes in other bacteria. The ydaO/yuaA element is thought to act as a genetic "off" switch for the ydaO and yuaA genes in its native state.
Source: RNAcentral
CAUAACAUAAUGCCGAGUUCCAUUUUGGAAGCGGAGGAACCACUUUUUGGGGUUAAUUUUGUCAAUUAGGCAAAAGGGAUGUUUUUCUCUUGUCAUCCUACCCGUCAGCUAACUUCGCAGGCUAAAGCAGGGGUCGAA